This 489-nucleotide ribosomal RNA is filed under the name uncultured bacterium. Its description in RNAcentral is "partial 16S ribosomal RNA". It matches the Rfam family "Bacterial small subunit ribosomal RNA", at positions 29 to 504 of the family's 1533-position model. The record is from RNAcentral.
AGUGAACGCUGGCGGUAGGCCUAACACAUGCAAGUCGAACGGCAGCACAGUAAGAGCUUGCUCUUACGGGUGGCGAGUGGCGGACGGGUGAGGAAUACAUCGGAAUCUACUUUUUCGUAGGGGAUAACGUAGGGAAACUUACGCUAAUACCGCAUACGACCUACGGGUGAAAGCAGGGGAUCUUCGGACCUUGCGCGAUUGAAUGAGCCGAUGUCGGAUUAGCUAGUUGGCGGGGUAAAGGCCCACCAAGGCGACGAUCCGUAGCUGGUCUGAGAGGAUGAUCAGCCACACUGGAACUGAGACACGGUCCAGACUCCUACGGGAGGCAGCAGUGGGGAAUAUUGGACAAUGGGCGCAAGCCUGAUCCAGCCAUACCGCGUGGGUGAAGAAGGCCUUCGGGUUGUAAAGCCCUUUUGUUGGGAAAGAAAAGCAGCAGGUUAAUACCCCGCUGUUCUGACGGUACCCAAAGAAUAAGCACCGGCUAACUUC